GGGUCUGGGGGAGCGCUUGGAUGUGGAGCGUUGCUUAAAUGAGGUGCCGAGGGAUGAACCUUUGUGCCGGGGAGUAGCAGAGGGAUAGGAUGUAAACCAGACACAAAUGGAGGAGGCCAGAGGAGCACAGCAAUGAGAAGAUGCGAAGCGCUUGGUACGGCCAGGUACUGGUACCGGGGGCACCAUGAGCCAGAUGAGUAUUGGUGGUCUGAAGCAUUCCAACCGCUGGUCCAAUAUGACAGAGGCCCUUGCGGAAAGAGGUCACGGUCAAGCGGUUUCAGAUGGAAACUAAUCCGGCAAUGCCA
Long non-coding RNA from Corvus hawaiiensis (hawaiian crow), 305 nucleotides. RefSeq lists it as uncharacterized. The record is from RefSeq and is a predicted model, not a curated record. The transcript is spliced from 4 exons. NCBI's taxonomy places the organism in Eukaryota, Metazoa, Chordata, Aves, Passeriformes, Corvidae.